GGGAAUUCAAUUGUGUUAUAUUAGUCCGUUCUCACACUGCUAUAAAGAUCCUACCUGAGACUGGGUAAUUUAUCAGCAAAGGAGUUUUAAUUGACUCACAGUUCUGCUUGAUCCCAGAGGCCUCAGGAAACUUACAAUUAUGGCAGAAGGGGAAGCAGACACGUCUUACACGACAGCAGGACAGAGACAGAAUGAGAGCAAGAGCAGGGAAAACUGCCUUAUAAAACCAUCAGCUCUCAUGAGAACUCACUCACUGUCAAGAGAACAGCAUGGGGGAAACUGCCUCCAUGAUCCAGUCACCUCCCACCUCGUUCCUCCCUGGACACGUGGACAUUUUUGGGAUUAUAAUUUGAGAUGAGAUUUGGGUGAGGACACAGAGCCAAACCAUAUCAUGUGUAAAAAGUCAAUAAACUUCAAAUAAAUUUAGAACUUUAGUAGACCUAAAAAAUAGCAUAAUAAAUAGGCUAACAUAUAGUGUGUCUAAGACACUCUGAAGUGACAAGAAUAGACCAGACUUGUGGGAAAGGGAAGAACUGAAAGAUCCACUUGGUGAGUUUUACCGUAGAAAAAAUGGGAGCUAUAACAGUACCUACCUGAAAAGGCUGUGGAGAAGAUGAAAUGACAAAAACUUCCAGGAACUAAUCUUGAAACAGACCAAGCACAGAGAGCCAGCUACAGAAGUCCAGAGAUUACCUCAAGGCAGUUAGUCAACAACCCAGCCAUUGUUCAGAUGACAGCAUCCUACACUCCAGGUGGACCAUGGCUCGAGAUAACCACCAGAACAAGACACUCCCACCUUGUACUCAGCAGCCUGCCUGCCUGCCUCCCAUUGCAAGUUCCCCUUUUUAAGCUCUCCUCCCCAGCCUAAAGUGUGAAGUGGUUGCUUUGGAAGAGAAUCUGGCCGUUUCUCGAUUACUAGUGUUGGUUAAUAAAGUCACUUUCUUUCUACUACACCUCACUGUUGUCACUGGACUCUGUAAGUGGUAGCAGCUAUGUACCAGGACUGAGGGAAAAAAUAGGAAGAGGAAAAUUUACCAUAAACUAGAAGCUUGGUGCCCUGAAACCUGGUACUUAGACCACAGAUGAGCCUGCUCAAUUACUGCCGCUGCCUCUGAGGAGCCCUGAUGACACUGAUGCUGAGAUACUGAUGGAAGCUGGUGGCUGGGUCCAUGGCUGCUGCUAAAGUGAUACUGAUGGUGCCUGGAAAACAGCUACCAUUGAGAGAGGUUUUGAAGACUUUAGAAGGAUCAGAGUGACCAUAUGCAAUUUCCUGAUUAAAAACAAAAAAUGUACGGAUAUGUGAACCCUUUCCAGUCUUCUCUUACGGUUUUAGACAACACAGUUCAUCCGAGUCUUUCCCCAAAGGAAUAUCAGAAAACUGAAGAAGUGAAACGCCUUACUCAAGGUCACAAAGAGGGGUAGUGCAGAACAAAGAACAAAUCUUGACGUCCUAUUUCUUAGUCUAAAACAAUCUUGUCAUUGCCCCACCUAUAGCACAUUUCUUGGACUAUUUAAAAGACACUAUUUUAUAAUUUAAAAGUAAAUUUUAUUUCUUUAACAAUGAAAAAUCACUUAAAGUCCACGUUGGGAAACAAGGCUGAUUUUUAGAAAAAAAAAAAACUUCUCUAGCUAUAAAAAUAUAGGAAUAACUUUUUCCUCAUCUUAUUUUGAAAGCAGUUCCAACAUGUGUAGACCCAAGAGAAGAAAAAAAAUAUAUACACACACACACACACACAUAUGUUAAUAUAGACACACAAAUGUAUACAUACACAUAUAUAAAACAUUCAUAAAUAUGACAUUCACUUGGGUGACUAUAUUUGCAUUUUAAAUGUUUUUAUUUAUACAUUUUUAUUGAUACAUAUAUUAGUGGUACAUAUUUUGGGAGUACAGGUGAUAUUUUGAUACUUAUAGACAGUGUGAAAUAAUCAGACUAGGGUGGUUGGGAUAUCCAUUGCCUCAAACAUAUGUCUUUUCUUUGUGUUGAAAACAUUACAAUUCUUAUUUUCCAGUUAUUUUGAGAUAUAAAAGCAAUUAUUAACUAUAACUAUCCCACUGUACUAUCAAAUACCAGAACUCAUUCCUUUCAUCUAACUAUAUUUCUGUCCCUCCUAACCAACUUCUCUUUAUCCCCUCUCCACUCUUCCCUUCUCAGACUCUGAUAACCACCAUUCCACUCUCUAUCUUCCUAAGAUCCACUUUUUUAGCUCCUACAUGUGAGUGAGAACAUGUGACAUUUGUCUGUCUGUUCCUGGUUUAUUUCACUUAGUGACCUCCAGUUUCAUCCACGUUGCUGCAAAGACAAUAUUUCAUCCCUUUUUAUGGGUGAAUAAUAUUCCACUGUGUAUAUAUACCACAUUUUCUUUAUUCAUUCAUUCAUUGGUGAACAAUUAGGUUGAUUCCAUAUCUUUGCUACUGUGAAUAGUACUACAAUAAACAUGACAGUGCAGAUAUCACUUUGAUAUACUGAUUUCCUUUUUGCGGGGGAUAUGUGUGACAUUUCUGGAUUAUGUGGUAGUUCUGGUUUUUAGUUUUGUAAGGAACCUCCACACUGUUUUCCAUAAUGGCUGCACUACUUUACCACCAACGGUGUCCACUCAUUCCCCUUUCUUCAUAUCCUUACAAGCACUUGUUAUUUUUUGUCUUUUCAAUAACAGUCAUUCUAACUGGGGUGCGAUGAUACUUCAUGGUGAUUUUGAUUUGCAUUUUCCUGAUGAUUAGUGAUAUUCAGCUUUUUUAUUAUUUAUUUAUUUAUUUAUUACAAAACGCUAGCAAAAGGUCUUCCUUUUAUGAUAUAUAUGUGUGUGUGCAUAUGCACAACAUGCACACACACACAUACACACCACUUAUACAUGCCACAGGCUAAUAUCCUGUUGGCCAUUUGGAUAUCAUUUUUGAGAAAUGUCUAUUCAAGUCUUUUGCCCAUUUUUAAAUUAGAUUAUUUGUUUUUGGCUAAUCAGUUUGAGUUUUUAUGUAUUCUUGUUAUUAAUCCCUUGUUGGAUGGAUAGUUUGCAAAUAUUUUCUCCCAUUCUCUGAGUUGUCUCUUCACUUUGUUGACUGUUUCCUUUAUUGUGAAGAAGCUUUUUAGCUUGAUGCAAUCCCAUUUCUCUAAUUUUGUUUUGUUGCCUCUGCUUUUGAGGUCUUACUCCCAAAAAUCUUUGCCCAGACUAUUGCCCUGGAGCAUUUCCCCAAUGUUUUCUUUACAUUUAAGUCUCAUCCAUUUUGAGUUGAUUUUUAUAUAUAGUGAAAAAUGAGAAUCUAGUUUCAUUCUUCUGCAUAUGGAUAUCCAGUUUUCCCAGAAUCAUUUAUUAAGAGUUUGCUCUUUUUCUCUAAUGUAUUUUCUUGGUGCCUUUGCCAAAAAUGAGUUGAAUGUAAGUGCAUAGAUUUCUUCCUAGGUUUUACAUUCUGUUUCAUUGGUCUAUUUGUCUAUUUAUACGCCAGUGUCAUGCUGCUUUGGUUGCUACAGCUUUGUAGUAUAAUUUGAAAUAAGUUAGUGUGAUGCCUCCAGCUUUGUUCUUUUUGCUUUAUCUAUUUUGGGUCUUUUGUGGUUCCAUGUGAAUUUUAGGAUUGUUUUUAUUAUUUCUAUGAAGAAUAUCAUCUGUAUUUUGGUAGUGAUUGCAUUGAAUCUGUAGAUUGCUUUGGGUAUUACAGAUAUUUUAACAAUAUUAAUUUUUUCC
This 3674-nucleotide long non-coding RNA is filed under the name Homo sapiens (human). RNAcentral describes it as "HSALNT0127277". Lineage: Eukaryota; Metazoa; Chordata; Mammalia; Primates; Hominidae. The record is from RNAcentral.